Molecule: unclassified non-coding RNA, 376 nt
Filed under: uncultured bacterium
Lineage: Bacteria
Description: contains 16S-23S intergenic spacer region
Source: RNAcentral
UCCCCGUUAUCCGGGGCGGUUUCAUUAGAGUGCUCGGCAUUACCCGGUGGCAACUAGGGAUGAGGGUUGCGCUCGUUGCGGGACUUAACCCAACAUCUCACGACACGAGCUGACGACAGCCAUGCAGCACCUGUGCACGAUCUCCGAAGAGGGGCUCUCGUUUCUGAGAGCUUGCUCGUGCAUGUCAAGCCUAGGUAAGGUUCUUCGCGUUGCGUCGAAUUAAACCACAUGCUCCACCGCUUGUGCGGGCCCCCGUCAAUUCCUUUGAGUUUCAAUCUUGCGAUCGUACUUCCCAGGUGGGAUACUUAAUGCUUUCGCUCAGACACUUGCAGUUUAUCGCAAAUGUCGAGUAUCCAUAGUUUAGGGCGUGGACUAC